This 87-nucleotide ribosomal RNA is filed under the name Myotis lucifugus (little brown bat). The record is from RNAcentral. Lineage: Eukaryota; Metazoa; Chordata; Mammalia; Chiroptera; Vespertilionidae.
GUCUACGGCCAUACCACCCUGAACGCGCCCGAUCUCGUCUGAUCUUGGAAGAUAAAGCAUGUAAGCUUUGGACAAAUGCUUUAAUCA